RNAcentral lists this small nuclear RNA (287 nucleotides) under Peromyscus maniculatus bairdii (prairie deer mouse). RNAcentral describes it as "7SK RNA (ENSPEMG00000003273.2)". It matches the Rfam family "7SK RNA". From Rfam's summary of the family: 7SK was discovered as an abundant small nuclear RNA in the mid-70s but a possible function has only recently been suggested. Two independent studies have found that 7SK RNA binds the CDK9/cyclin T complex (known as elongation factor P-TEFb). Lineage: Eukaryota; Metazoa; Chordata; Mammalia; Rodentia; Cricetidae. The record is from RNAcentral.
GGAUGUGAGGGCAAUCUGGCUGUGACAUCUGUCAUGCAUUGAUCACUAGGGUUUAUUGGGCUGUUCUGGCUGGCUAGGUGGGUGUCUGCUUCUUUCUUCACCACUCCAUGUGUGUCCCUCCCAAAGCUCCCUGAAUAGAGGCAGAGAGAACGCUAAUUGGGAAUGGCAUGGGAGUAUGAGGGUCUGCAUUGGAUGUUAUCAACUACCAGUUCCAGGCCAGUGUAAUAAAAUAAUGUCUUAAAAUAAAGAGUAAAAAACAGAGGUUAAAAAAUAGGCUUUGGGGCCUA